RNAcentral lists this ribosomal RNA (253 nucleotides) under uncultured bacterium. Its description in RNAcentral is "partial 16S ribosomal RNA". It matches the Rfam family "Bacterial small subunit ribosomal RNA", at positions 524 to 776 of the family's 1533-position model. The record is from RNAcentral.
UACGAAGGGUGCAAGCGUUACUCGGAAUUACUGGGCGUAAAGCGUGCGUAGGUGGUUUGUUAAGUCUGUUGUGAAAGCCCCGGGCUCAACCUGGGAAUGGCAAUGGAUACUGGCAGGCUAGAGUGCGGUAGAGGGUAGUGGAAUUCCCGGUGUAGCGGUGAAAUGCGUAGAGAUCGGGAGGAACACCAGUGGCGAAGGCGGGUCUCUGGGCAGUAACUGACGCUGAGGAGCGAAAGCGUGGGGAGCGAACAGG